GCUGGAGGAGUUAAGUGCUUUCCCUUGGUGGUCUCCUGCACGGUCACACAGGUGCUCACCUUAGAGGGAAUUUAGGUUGUCAACUCAUCACAAUUGCCCUGGAGUCUACAGGAAUUAAAGACUAAUCUCUAACUAAAGAUUAUGUCAUGUGAUGAAACCUCCAGGAAUACGUCUAAUCAAAACUGGCAACCCUAGGCACUGCUGGGGAGGCUCCGAGUGGCUGUGAACAUCAUGCUGCUCACAUCCCAGACCAGAAGGAGGCACUGAAGCUUGAAAACAAAUAAAAACGCUUUAACUGUCCAAAAAAACAGCCCACGAAUGGCUUCAUUAACCAAGGAAGCAGAGGAUAACCCAGGUCUCCCAGGAUAACCAGAGCAAUGCCAACUCCAUUAAUGUCCACAGUGCUCCUGGGGGCAAACGUUCCUUUCUCCAUUAAGUUGCCAAGACAUACUCAUAACGUGGGGACCAGGCCACUGCCAGCACUUCUUGUCUGUGACCUAGAAAUAUGGUACCAUGAGAAAUUUCAGACUAAGAAGUACCCUGCAGAAUUUGAGAACAGGAUCCAGACUUCAAGUCACAAAGCUGUACUUGGGGGCUUUUGGUACCAACUGUAACAAGAAAAACAAAACAAUGUAAAAAAAACCAACUCUUAAC
Long non-coding RNA from Mauremys mutica (yellowpond turtle), 654 nucleotides. RefSeq lists it as uncharacterized. The record is from RefSeq and is a predicted model, not a curated record. Lineage: Eukaryota; Metazoa; Chordata; Testudines; Geoemydidae. The transcript is spliced from 4 exons.